UACGUAGGGGGCAAGCGUUGUCCGGAAUUACUGGGCGUAAAGCGCGUGUAGGCGGGACGGUUAGUCGGACGUGAAAGGCUGGGGCUCAACCCCAGAUCGCCGUUCGAAACUGCCGUUCUUGAGGGUCGAAGAGGAGAGUGGAAUUCCUGGUGUAGCGGUGAAAUGCGCAGAUAUCAGGAAGAACACCCGUGGCGAAGGCGGCUCUCUGGGACGGUACUGACGCUGAGACGCGAAAGCGUGGGGAGCGAACAGG
RNAcentral lists this ribosomal RNA (253 nucleotides) under uncultured bacterium. RNAcentral's name for it is "partial 16S ribosomal RNA". It matches the Rfam family "Bacterial small subunit ribosomal RNA", at positions 524 to 776 of the family's 1533-position model. The record is from RNAcentral.